GAUGAACGCUGGCGGCGUGCCUAAUACAUGCAAGUCGAGCGAACAGACGAGGAGCUUGCUCCUCUGACGUUAGCGGCGGACGGGUGAGUAACACGUGGAUAACCUACCUAUAAGACUGGGAUAACUUCGGGAAACCGGAGCUAAUACCGGAUAAUAUAUUGAACCGCAUGGUUCAAUAGUGAAAGACGGUUUUGCUGUCACUUAUAGAUGGAUCCGCGCCGCAUUAGCUAGUUGGUAAGGUAACGGCUUACCAAGGCAACGAUGCGUAGCCGACCUGAGAGGGUGAUCGGCCACACUGGAACUGAGACACGGUCCAGACUCCUACGGGAGGCAGCAGUAGGGAAUCUUCCGCAAUGGGCGAAAGCCUGACGGAGCAACGCCGCGUGAGUGAUGAAGGUCUUCGGAUCGUAAAACUCUGUUAUUAGGGAAGAACAAAUGUGUAAGUAACUAUGCACGUUUUGACGGUACCUAAUCAGAAAGCCCCGGCUAACUACGUG
This 497-nucleotide ribosomal RNA is filed under the name uncultured bacterium. Its description in RNAcentral is "partial 16S ribosomal RNA". It matches the Rfam family "Bacterial small subunit ribosomal RNA", at positions 28 to 507 of the family's 1533-position model. The record is from RNAcentral.